This 516-nucleotide ribosomal RNA is filed under the name Fusarium oxysporum. Its description in RNAcentral is "eukaryotic LSU rRNA". The stretch from base 152 to 305 matches the Rfam family "5.8S ribosomal RNA". Lineage: Eukaryota; Fungi; Ascomycota; Sordariomycetes; Hypocreales; Nectriaceae. The record is from RNAcentral.
UUACCGAGUUUACAACUCCCAAACCCCUGUGAACAUACCACUUGUUGCCUCGGCGGAUCAGCCCGCUCCCGGUAAAACGGGACGGCCCGCCAGAGGACCCCUAAACUCUGUUUCUAUAUGUAACUUCUGAGUAAAACCAUAAAUAAAUCAAAACUUUCAACAACGGAUCUCUUGGUUCUGGCAUCGAUGAAGAACGCAGCAAAAUGCGAUAAGUAAUGUGAAUUGCAGAAUUCAGUGAAUCAUCGAAUCUUUGAACGCACAUUGCGCCCGCCAGUAUUCUGGCGGGCAUGCCUGUUCGAGCGUCAUUUCAACCCUCAAGCACAGCUUGGUGUUGGGACUCGCGUUAAUUCGCGUUCCCCAAAUUGAUUGGCGGUCACGUCGAGCUUCCAUAGCGUAGUAGUAAAACCCUCGUUACUGGUAAUCGUCGCGGCCACGCCGUUAAACCCCAACUUCUGAAUGUUGACCUCGGAUCAGGUAGGAAUACCCGCUGAACUUAAGCAUAUCAAUAAGCGGAGG